Molecule: long non-coding RNA, 3454 nt
Organism: Amaranthus tricolor (Joseph's coat)
Lineage: Eukaryota; Viridiplantae; Streptophyta; Magnoliopsida; Caryophyllales; Amaranthaceae
Exons: 3
Source: RefSeq, a predicted model, not a curated record
UGUAAGUGCCACCUAACCUUAUGAUUCACUCAAAAAUUUUAUGACUCACCUUGAAGCAAUUUCUACCUAAAGUCCGAAUCUGGACAAAGCAAAAACCCAUCACUUUUCCAUAUUAACCUUCUUCUUCAAAGUAAAGUAGUAAAUUUCAUUUCUUCUUAUGCAUAAAACCAGCCCAAAAUCUGAAAUUUAAUCUACUUUUCUGGCAUAAAUUCAAAGACCAUCAAGAAUUAAGUAGUAUGUGUUUAUAUUGAAAACCCCCAAUUUCAAGUUAGGGUUAUGAGAAGCUAAUUAGGAGUUGUUUUUGAAAAUAGAUAAUUCUGGGAUUGAAGAAAUCAAGUAGAUCAUCAUCUCCAUCUCUUUUUGGAUUAGAAUAUUAAGAAGUUGCCAUUUUGAGAAAGUCAUUGAAGAACUAGCAAUUGAAGUGGAUCUUUGGUUUUGAAGUUUUAUGUGAUUGUGUGGAAAUUUAACUUGCUCAAAGAUUCCGGGACCGUACAAGCCUGUUACAUGAAAUGCACCAAAACCAAAACAAGCCACCCCCGAAAGAAAUAAAUGAAUUCCAAAAAUCUUAGGCAAAUCCAAAGAAGGUUUUCCUGUACGUUCAUCACAAAAUAUUUUUAGAUCCCAAUACACCCAAUGCCAAAUAACUGCCAAAAAGCACAAGCCAGAAAACACAAUAUGCGCGCCAGCCACACCUUCGUAACUCCAAAUACCGGGAUUCAUUAUAGUCCCCCCUGUAAUACUCCAACCGCCCCAUGAAUUGGUUAUUCCUAAACGGGUCAUGAAAGGUAUAACGAACAUACCCUGUCUCCACAUUGGAUCAAGAAUGGGGUCAGAGGGAUCAAAAACUGCUAAUUCAUAUAGAGCCAUCGAACCAGCCCAACCAGCAACCAAAGCUGUAUGCAUGAUAUGGACAGAAAUCAACCGACCAGGAUCAUUCAAUACGACGGUAUGAACACGAUACCAAGGCAAACCCAUGGAAAUACCCCUUAUAUCAAAGAAAAAUGACACUGUAACUUUAUUGCAUUGGAAAAGACUAUAACUAUGCAAUGGAUCCCUUUUGUUCAAUCGAUUAUCUAGCAACAAGGGUUAAUGUUUCUUCUAUUCGGUUGGUAAUAAUAGAACAAUUAUGUUUGUAGGUACAAAGAGAAACAAAUCUAUUUUUUACCCUAUAAGUAGCAAUACGCAAUGGGGAGUUGAUACCAUCUUCUAUCAGUAAAUGCUUUCAUACUUGUUCAUUAUUGGAAGGCUAUAUUGGUAAGAAUUUUUUCUUAAACUAAACCUUUCUAAUAUAUGCAGAAAACAGAAUUAAUAAGUGAUAUUAUAAAAAAAAUAACCUUCAUUAUUACGUUUCCACAUCAAAGUGAAAUAGAAUACUUAAUUAUUUUUUCUUUCAUUUAAUGCCUAUUGAUGUUCCAAAAGUUCCCUUUCGAGGUCUUGGAGAGGACGAUGCAUCUUGGGUUGACGUAUAGUGCGACUUGUCAGAUAUAUUGGGUCAUAUGGGAUUUCCCCAUUAUCUCUCCCGAUUGAGAUAUCCUCCAUUUCGCCCAAGAAAGAUUGAUUAAAUCAUCCAAAAUUUGGAGCGUGAAAUGCAAUUCGAUCCGUUUUUUAGUUUUAGGGGGAUUCAGGUUAAUAAUUCUCACUUAGAAUAAUUUAUGGUUGGCUCGGUUGGACCAAUAAAAUGAAGUAUCCAGGCUCCGUUUAUAAAAACCCCAAUCCCAAUCGGGAAUAUAUUAAAAAUUACUGCUUGUAUUAUAUAGGUUAUUUACUUUAACUCUUAAUUUUUUCGAUUUGAAAUUAAAAAUAGCGCUCUCAACUUUAAUGAUUUGAAUGAAAGUAAUUAAUCUGUUGAAUAUGGAAAUUCACGAAAGAAAAGAUAUGAAGUAAAUAAAAAAGGGGAAUUUUAACAAAAAAAAAAUAAAAACAAGCGGUAAUGGAAACAUUUGUUCUAUAUGGUCAAAUCGAAAUCGGGCAGAUCGUUACCCGGAGUAGAGCAUAAACCAAACAAUUUCAAGAGACCCAUUCAAGAACAAGAAAAUGACAUCGUGAUUUGAGUUGAAUCUCGAUGAUAUGAUACAUCAAUGAAAAGUAAGUUUACUUUAUCCCACGCUAAUCGUUUACCCGUAACUAUUCAAUAUCCGUAUGAAAAAUUGAUCACAUCUGAGCGUUUCGUGGUCGAAUUCAUUUUGAAUUUGAUAAAUGCAUUGCUUGUGAAGUAUGUGUUCGUGCAUGUCCUAUAGAUUUACCCGUUGUUGAUUGGAAAUUGGAAACGGAUCUUCGAAAGAAACGGUUGCUUAAUUAUAGCAUUGAUUUCGGAAUUUGUAUUUGUUGUGGUAAUUGUGUUGAGUAUUGUCCAACAAAUUGUUUAUCAAUGACUGAAGAAUAUGAGCUUUCGACUUAUGAUCCUCACGAAUUAAAUUAUAAUCAAAUUUCGACUUAUGAUAUUGAUCAAUAACUGAUGAUUACACAAUUCGACCAAUUUUGAAUUCACCUCAACCAAAAGAGCAAUUCCGUGAUUGAAGAGCAAUUCUCAAUUAUUAAAUUUCUAUUUUUUUUCUUGUUCAAUAACUAUAAAUUUUGAUUAUUCAAUAAUCCUAUUUAUUGGUGAAAAUCGAAACUUUAUUUGGAUUUUAAAUAUGUUUACUGUAAUUGUAAUGGUUUUAAAUAGUUUUAGUUGCGAACUACCCAAACCAAUGCGAUAGGUUCAAUAACUUUACUUUACUCACAUCAAGUGAUACGCAUUAGGAUUUAAAAUCAAAAAUGCAACUUUUUUUUUCCUGUUCAAGUCAAUAAAAUCAUGAAACAUUCCGAUUUUUUUAUUUCUUAUUUCACAUAUAAUGGAUUUACCUGGACCAAUACACCAUUUUCUUUUAGUUUUUCUGGGGUCGGGCCUUAUAUUAGGUGGUCUAGGAGUAGUAUUAUUUACCAAUACAAUUUUUUCUGCUUUUUCGUUAGGAUUGGUUCUUGUUUGUAUAUCUUUAUUAUAUAUUCUAGCAAAUUCCCAUUUUGUAGCUUCUGCACAACUCCUUAUUUAUGUAGGAGCUAUAAAUAUAUUAAUAAUAUUUUCUGUAAUGUUCAUGAAUGGUCCGGAAUAUGACACAGAUUUCCGUCUGUGGACUGUGGGGGACGGGAUUACCUUAUUGGUUUGUGCAAGUCUUUUUGUUUCAUUAACUAUUACUAUUCUAAAUACGUCCUAGUAUGGGAUUAUUUGGACUACAAAAUCAAAUCAGAUUCUAGAACAAGAUCUGAUAAGCGCUAGUCAACAAAUAGGAAUUCAUUUAUCAACCGAUUUUUUUCUUCCAUUUGAACUCAUUUCAAUAAUUCUUUUAGUUGCUUUAAUAGGUGCAAUUGGCGUGGCUCGUCAAUAAUAAUUCAUUUGAUUUUUUAAAAUAGCAAUCAAAAAAAAUGAUAUUUUAUCAUAUUCAUUUUCAUUUUAGUCAAUCAAAUUGGUUUAAUU